Nomascus leucogenys (northern white-cheeked gibbon) is the source of this 1651-nucleotide long non-coding RNA. RefSeq lists it as uncharacterized. The transcript has 4 exons. The record is from RefSeq and is a predicted model, not a curated record. NCBI's taxonomy places the organism in Eukaryota, Metazoa, Chordata, Mammalia, Primates, Hylobatidae.
AAAAAAAAAAGAAAAAAGACACUCCCAUCAGCAGAAUAUGAGUGUGUAUGUUUCCCAGACUCAUGCCAUUCUUUUGCAUUUUUGCUUACUUGACAGAGAAAAUGACAGUCUUCCAAUUUUCAUUUAUUUAAUUGUGAAUUAAUAUUGAGCAAAAUUUUGUAUGUUUACAAGCCAUUUGUACUUAUGAAAUGCCUAUUCAUAGUCUUUGUCCAUUUUUCUUUGGAAUAUUUCCUUUCAACAUUAAGAAUAAUAUCCUCUAUUGUCUGUCAUAUGUUGCAAAUAAUCUCUCCUUGUCAUUUGCGUUUUCUUGCCUUUGAGAAAUAUUUAAUUUUUAUGAAGUUGCAUUUAUCAAUUUUUUCCCCUGUGGCUUCUGCUUUUAGUAUUAUGUCUGGCAAUAUUCUCCUAUCCCAAAAUUAUGUCAAUAUAUACUUAUGUUUUCUUUCAGUAUGUUUAUGAUGUUGCUUUUUAAAACACUUAAUUCUUUAGCCCGGUGGAAUUUGUUUUGAUUGUGGUAGGAAUUGAACCUUUCCCUCAAAUUGUUAAGCAGUCCCAAUCACUGAUUUUAGAAACGUUUUCCCUAAAUGUUUAACAUUUCUCCAGUUAAACAUUAGAUUGACUUUGGUCUGUUUCUAUAUUGUUCUCCUCCAUUGGUUCGUGAGUGGCUUCUGCUGCUGGCUCCAUACUGCUCCCAUGACUGUCUUGGAGGCACAUUUUAGGUUCUGGUAAGGCAAGUAUCUCCCCAUUACUUCACAAGUUUUCUGACUAUUUUCACUUCUUUAUUCUUCCAGAUGAAAUUUAGAAUCAAGUUCAAAACAAAAACUCGUUGGAAUUUUGAUUGUGAUUUUGCUUAAAAUUAGAGAUUACUUUGGGGAGAAUAGUGGUCUUUGCGAUUUUGAAUCUUCCUACGCAAGAACAUGAAAAACAGGAUGAAGUUGUCUAUUACGAUCCAUGUGAAAGUCCAGAGGAACUUAGUCAUUGACUGUGGUGGGGCUGCAGGACGAUAAGAAUUCGGAAGUGAAAGAACUCAGAAGGCAGUGCCAGCAGCUGGAGUCUAUUAAACGGGGCAGGAUCUCUGUCAAAAGAGCUUCUCUCCAGAGUAGAAAGGAUCAGUGCAAAGAAAAUCAUCGGCUCAGAUUGCAACAGGCUGAAGAAAGCAUAAGAUACUCUCGUCAGCAUCACAGUAUUCAGAUGAAAAGAGACAAGAUAAAAAGGAGCAAAAGAAAAAAGAAUGGAUCAACCAAGAACGUCAAACACUCCAACGAUUGAGAGCAUUUAAAGAUGUAAGUUCUAUAAACAAUCACCUCAUCUACACCUCUGGGGAAAUAAAUGAAGACCGCUCUAAAGAGGAAAGUAUAAAGUAUUAAGAACAGGUCAUUCAGAACAUGAAACAUUUAAAAAAUAACAUUAUUUCUGGUAUAUCAAUAAAAAGCAACAGCAAAAAUAGACUAUCAGUGAUUCAAAACCCAUGAUAUAAAAUAACUGCUGUUUUUGACAUCACAACACGCUUGGGUUCCUGCUCUGCACUCCUCACUGAGUAGUCCUAACUGGCACUGGUGGUUUAGAUUGGCAGGGAAAACUGAAAACUGUUCAACUCCCUUGACUUUAGCUGGCAUUUCCUCUCAUUUGUAAUAAACAAUUCUUUAAAAUGUUA